RNAcentral lists this small RNA (22 nucleotides) under Arabidopsis thaliana (thale cress). RNAcentral describes it as "Ath_wt_16440". Lineage: Eukaryota; Viridiplantae; Streptophyta; Magnoliopsida; Brassicales; Brassicaceae. The record is from RNAcentral.
CCCACUGUCCCUGUCUACUAUC